Molecule: ribosomal RNA, 253 nt
Filed under: uncultured bacterium
Lineage: Bacteria
Description: partial 16S ribosomal RNA
Rfam family: Bacterial small subunit ribosomal RNA
Source: RNAcentral
AACGUAGGAGACGAGCGUUAUCCGGAGUUACUGGGCGUAAAGGGCGUGUAGGCGGUUUGUUAAGUCUGGCGUGAAAGCUCUCGGCUAAACCGGGAGAGGUCGUUGGAUACUGGCAAACUAGAGGAUGGUAGAGGCGUGUGGAAUUCCGGGUGUAGUGGUGAAAUGCGUAGAGAUCCGGAGGAACACCAGUGGCGAAGGCGACACGCUGGGCCAUACCUGACGCUAAAGCGCGACAGCAUGGGGAGCAAACGGG